UACAGGGGGUGCAAGCGUUAAUCGGAAUUACUGGGCGUAAAGCGUGCGUAGACGGUUGCGUAAGUCAGAUGUGAAAGCCCCGGGCUCAACCUGGGAAUUGCAUUUGAGACUGCGUAGCUAGGGUGCGGAAGAUGGGAAGGCGGGAAAUUUCCGGGUAUGAAUGGCGGGUGGUAAAUGAACUGUAGAGUAAUUUAGGGGUGGAAA
Molecule: ribosomal RNA, 204 nt
Filed under: uncultured bacterium
Lineage: Bacteria
Description: partial 16S ribosomal RNA
Rfam family: Bacterial small subunit ribosomal RNA
Source: RNAcentral